AAGGAAGGACUGAAGACAAAAGAAACUAUGGGCUGCUCUCUCUUUCCCUUUCUUUCUAUGUCACCAUUUUCACUUAAGUGGUUGGUCGAUACAAGGAAUUAACACUAAUGCUAUGUGCAAAUGGGAUAGGAAGAAAUGGCAGCAUGCAUUAUGCACACCUCUCCUCUGCUCAGACUCAAAUUAUCGAAACUUCAGAGGAAAAAUUUAAACUUUCCUACACCAGAAUCAGCUUGAGAGAAGAACCUAGUUGCCACCCCAGCCAGAGGGUUCCUGUGGAAGCCACCAGCACAUUGAGAGAAGGGAAAAUGUGGUUAUUCUGCAUCCAUUUUACUGCAAGGAGAUCGGGGCUGACGUGGCUGGCCAAUUCACAACCUGUCUCUAAUGUAUUCCCAUUUGAGAAACUGAUCAUGGACAGCUAAGUGAAAUGUCUGACUUCUCUCCUGGAGGCUCCCUCACUCUCUUCUGCCAGAAAUGAGACCCGGGGAAAAACAGCGGUAUCAUCUAUAUCCCUGCUAACUUCCUGUACUGCACAUAUUGGAGGACUCAGUCACCGACUUGCCUGUGGUUGCUAUGAGUCGCCUACAGAACUGAAAAUGGGAAGCAGAACUAGGCUGGUUGUACUCCUAACCACAAGGACACUCUCCUCCUCAAAUGAAAAGGCUCUAAUUAAAAGGCAGGAAAGAUCAGGUAUCUCUGGAGUUCACUUUUAAAAUUGUCAAAAAAAACCUCAAAGUCGCUUUGCUUCUGACUAUCCAUACAUUGGAAGACUAAUUAACUAUGACAAGCUGACCAGUGGAGACCAUUUUCAUAAGGAUGACACGAUGAUGGAUGGGUGCAUGCUGUUACAAUGUCAUUGCUAAAAAAGACGUGAUGAGUCCAAGUUCCAAUUACUAAGAUUCAUAUACAAUACAGAGGUCUUUUUCAAGCCACAGAACCCCAUUGCAACAGGCUGACGUGUCGUCUUUUCUGUAUUUAAGAGACACAUUCAUGGGCCGGUGACAUACUGAGCUAUGCAUGCUAGGCCUUCUCUGCAUCUGGCAGCUGGAACGAGACACAACUAAGUCUUGUUGCUUCAGGGCUUUGGGUACCAAAUGAGGCAUUAGCACAAUAGAAACACCCAACCCAGAGCAAUGUUUUCCCAUCUUCAGACUUGGAGGCCAAGAGGCAAUAGCAAGGACAUUAUGUAGAUAUUUAUACAACCAUUUAAAACAUAACCACUCAAAAAUGUCAAAACCAUUCUUAGCUUACUGGCUGUAAAAAGUAGGCAGCUGGCUGGAUUGGGCCCACGGGCUAUAGUUUGCCAACCCUUGCCUUAAAUAAACAAACUUGUUA
Long non-coding RNA from Homo sapiens (human), 1332 nucleotides. RefSeq lists it as uncharacterized. The transcript is spliced from 5 exons. The record is from RefSeq and is marked validated. NCBI's taxonomy places the organism in Eukaryota, Metazoa, Chordata, Mammalia, Primates, Hominidae.